Molecule: transfer RNA, 65 nt
Filed under: Hwanghaeella grinnelliae
Lineage: Bacteria; Pseudomonadati; Pseudomonadota; Alphaproteobacteria; Rhodospirillales; Aestuariispiraceae
Description: tRNA-Gly
Source: RNAcentral
CGGCGAAUGCCGGGAAGGACUACACUGCCAAUGUGGAUGUCGCAGGUUCGAAUCCUGCCUGUCGG